UCCACGGGGGUGUUUCAGCAGUCAGCCACCAGCAAGGGGGGGAGGCCUCCCAACGGGGGAGUAGGGGAUAGAAGCCUGGUCAAGUGAGCUCCGUGGGUCCGCGCUACGGGCCGUGGAAGACUCAGGGGCUGAGCGGCGCCAGCCGCAAGAUGGCCGCCACCUGCCGGUCACACGCGGCCUGGCCGUUACCUGAAGUGGAGCACCCAGCCUCCGGUUGCCUGCAGGGGAUGAUGAUCCAGUGGUGGGGAGCGGUGCACAGGCGGGAGAGAGUGUCCGCCCCGCCAGCAGCGCAGACAGUCCUCCGCAGCGGCCUCCGUCUGUUGUCAAGGCCCCGGUUACCGCAGUGGAGGUGAGGGGGCCGCUGUGCGUGCGGGCGUCUCUGCCGAGGGUACGGGGACUUCAGCGACAGGCAGCGGGUCAGGCAGUGCCGAUAGCCACUCCAGGGAUGUCACUGCAGCAGGUGUCCUCUGGAUUUGGGACUUUUGGUUCGCCCACCCGGGCAGGCUGGAAAAUCGAGGUCCCGGCUUCAGAGUGGAGGUAGGCCGCAACCUGCAGGAGUGUUCUACAACACUCCCCGACUCCGCAGCACAAACCUAUCCACCGCAGGUGGACUUCACAGCAGGAACACCUCAGCGGGACAUCUCAUUUCAUCAGGAGAUUGUGAAAUGGAAGUAAAUGUCACCCAAGAUACUUGAAGUCAAUUCCCAGAUAGCCCCGGUAUCCAUCCAGUACUUCCCGGUGCAGCUAGCUCAUCGGACGGCUUUGGAUACGGAAGAGCCAUCGGACGCUGUGUGUAUUGUGGGUCGAGUGCAUCAUCAGCUAGCAGUCUCCCCGCUUCGCUUCUAUCAAACACAGCCAGCCUUCUGUACCCCAGCCGGAAUAAGAGAUUUACCAAUGUUAUAUGUGGAAAGUGCAUCUGACAUAAGACAGAGUCCGGUCACCAGAUUAGCCAAAUUUGGAACCUGGAAGUCACCAGAAGCAGUAGCAAGGAAGCAGGCAAGGAGAAUCGUCAGAUGGACCAGAUCAGAACACAGGAAAUCACACUGGGCAUUCACGCAGUGAACUCUACGCAAGUAGAAACCAUGCUGCGGUUUGUUGUCUGCGACUAUAUCCAAAUGAAAGAUGUGAUGUUCUCCAUGCUAGAGUUCCAGGAAGAAACUGGUCAGAUCUCUGGGCUGAUAACACACAGGAACAUGAUGUGAGGAGGAGAGCAGGCGUAUAAUAGAGGCUGAUGUCCCCUGAUGGAAAAGAAGAUUAUAUAACAUCUCCUGCUGCUCCUGCUAUCUUCAUUUCAGUAACAAAAAAAAAAUCACUAUGAACAAUAGAAUAUAUCACAGCUCUUGUGGCAAAUGUGAUAAUAAUACUAUUAUUAUCUGAGAGCGGCUCCCUGCUGCCCGGUUACAGCUGUGCUGAUGAGGAGACUGAGGCACUGAUACUAUAUCUGAGAGUUACCUCCCUGCUGCCCGGUUACAGCUGUGCUGAUGAGAGGACUGAGGCACUGAUACUAUAUCUGAGAGCGGCUCCCUGCUGCCCGGUUACAGCUGUGCUGAUGAGGAGACUGAGGCACUGAUACUAUAUCUGAGAGUUACCUCCCUGCUGCCCGGUUACAGCUGUGCUGAUGAGAAGACUGAGGCACUGAUACUAUAUCUGAGAUCGGCUCCCUGCUGCCCGGUUACAACUGUGCUGAUGAGAGGACUGAGGCACUUAUACUACAUCUGAGAUCGGCUCCCUGCUGCCCGGUUACAGCUGUGCUGAUGAGAAGACUGAGGCACUGAUACUAUAUCUGAGAUCGGCUCCCUGCUGCCCGGUUACAGCUGUGCUGAUGAGACAGCAUAAAGUACCACAGAGAGAACAGACGCCAUCAUGUGACCCAGAGAGCAUCGGAUAUUGGAAAGAAUACACUUUAUUAAAAUACCCAAGAAGAAAACAUUCUGUAAGGUCACCACAAAACAUGUAUAGUGUAGUCUUAGAGCUGUGAACAAUGAAUCAAAUGUACAGAGAAAGAAUAUUAAGAGGAAAUUAAAUAAAACUUUUGUAAAGAUAA
This is a long non-coding RNA of Pseudophryne corroboree (corroboree frog), 2044 nucleotides long. RefSeq lists it as uncharacterized. The record is from RefSeq and is a predicted model, not a curated record. The transcript has 6 exons. Lineage: Eukaryota; Metazoa; Chordata; Amphibia; Anura; Myobatrachidae.